This 17-nucleotide ribosomal RNA is filed under the name Morus bombycis. RNAcentral's name for it is "partial 18S ribosomal RNA". Lineage: Eukaryota; Viridiplantae; Streptophyta; Magnoliopsida; Rosales; Moraceae. The record is from RNAcentral.
CUCUACACUCUACCAUU